CCUACGGGGGGCAGCAGUGAGGAAUAUUGGUCAAUGGACGAGAGUCUGAACCAGCCAAGUAGCGUGAAGGAUGACUGCCCUAUGGGUUGUAAACUUCUUUUAUAUGGGAAUAAAAUGUUCCACGUGUGGGAUUUUGUAUGUAACAUAUGAAUAAGGAUCGGCUAACUCCGUGCCAGCAGCCGCGGUAAUACGGAGGAUCCGAGCGUUAUCCGGAUUUAUUGGGUUUAAAGGGAGCGUAGGUGGAUUGUUAAGUCAGUUGUGAAAGUUUGCGGCUCAACCGUAAAAUUGCAGUUGAAACUGGCAGUCUUGAGUACAGUGGAGGUGGGCGGAAUUCGUGGUGUAGCGGUGAAAUGCUUAGAUAUCACGAAGAACUCCGAUUGCGAAGGCAGUUCACUGGACUGCAACUGACACUGAGGCUCGAAAGUGUGGGUAUCAAACAGGAUUAGAUACCCGAGUAGUC
Molecule: ribosomal RNA, 460 nt
Filed under: uncultured bacterium
Lineage: Bacteria
Description: partial 16S ribosomal RNA
Rfam family: Bacterial small subunit ribosomal RNA
Source: RNAcentral